AUGGCCUUGUAUGACCAAUUCAAGACACCAUGCCAAGUUGUUUGGAUUUUCAACAAGUUCUACAUUUUCUGGAGUUUUCCCGAUGAAAAAAGACCGAUAAAUGAUCAGGCGUGUCGGAAGUUGCAUGCGGUGUCAGAAAUCAUUCAAACCUAUCACUGGUGCCUACCAUGGGCAAUGCCCACCUUCCUGCAAAAGUUGGGGGUCAUUUCAAGAAUGUCCAAAACUAGACCAUGUUCAAUGAAGGGUGUUCGGUUGCCAGAAGGAUUCAUCAAUUUAGAAACAAAAUCUUUAUUCAUCUUGAGAAAUCAUUCAUCCUGA
RNAcentral lists this ribosomal RNA (318 nucleotides) under Triticum aestivum (bread wheat). RNAcentral describes it as "partial small subunit ribosomal RNA". The record is from RNAcentral. Lineage: Eukaryota; Viridiplantae; Streptophyta; Magnoliopsida; Poales; Poaceae.